GAUGAACGCUGGCGGCGUGCCUAAUACAUGCAAGUCGAGCGAACAGACGAGGAGCUUGCUCCUCUGACGUUAGCGGCGGACGGGUGAGUAACACGUGGAUAACCUACCUAUAAGACUGGGAUAACUUCGGGAAACCGGAGCUAAUACCGGAUAAUAUAUUGAACCGCAUGGUUCAAUAGUGAAAGACGGUUUUGCUGUCACUUAUAGAUGGAUCCGCGCCGCAUUAGCUAGUUGGUAAGGUAACGGCUUACCAAGGCAACGAGGCUUAGCCGACCUGAGGGGUUGAUCGCCCACCCGGGACCUGGGCACCGGUCCGGCCCCCGACGGGAGGCACCGUAGGGAAUCCUUCGGCAUGGGGCGAAGGCCGACCGGAGCAACGCGGCGGAAGUGAGAAAUGUCUCCGGUUCGUAAAUCUUUGUUUUUAGGGAAGAACAAAGGUGUAAGAACCUAUGCCCUUCUUGCCGUUCCCGAAGCAGAAGGCCCCGCUAACCUCCUG
Molecule: ribosomal RNA, 496 nt
Filed under: uncultured bacterium
Lineage: Bacteria
Description: partial 16S ribosomal RNA
Rfam family: Bacterial small subunit ribosomal RNA
Source: RNAcentral